GAGGCUGCAAUCUCGGCACUUUGGGAGGCCAAGGCAGGCGGCUGCUCCUUGCCCUCGGGCCCCGCGGGGCCGUCCGCUCCUCCAGCCGCUGCCUCCCGGGCGGCGCUCGCCGGCGCGGCGGCAAAGACUGAGACAGCUCCGCUGCCCGCUGAACUCCAUCCUCCCGGCGGUCGGGCGGCGGCGGCUGCGGUCGGUCGCGGCAGCGGCUCCGCUUCAUAUCUGCAGCUGGGGCUCGCGGGCGUCAGCGCCGCGACUGUCCCGGCUCCGCACUGCCCCGCGCCGCAGCGCAGCCGCGCCAACCACCACCCGCGGCCACCAUGGCCGGACGGGCUCCCUAAGCCCAACUUUUCAAGAAUAGUCAGUACAAUAAGAUAUAAAUAGAAACAACAAAAAGUUAAAAAGCAGGAGAACGAAAUUAAGGCUCAACACCACAUGGAAACUGCCAAGGCUUGAGACUUGCAGCAUCUGAAGCCACGGCCCAAGCUCUACAUUGGCCCCUUUCAUCCAUGGCUGGAGUGGCUGCAACCUACGGCACCAAGCCCCUAAGCUGCAGACAGCAUGGGCACCCUGGGCUUGGCCCAGGAAACCACUUUUUCCUCCUAGGCCUCUGGGCCUGUGAUCAGAGGGGCUGCUGUGAAGACCUCUGACAUGCCCUGGAGCCAUUUUCCCCAUUGUCUUGGGGAUUAAUAUUUGACUCCUUAUUAAUUAUGCAGAUUUCUGCAGGCUUGCAUUUCUCCUCAGAAAAUUGAUUUUUCUUUUCUAUCGCAUUGUCAGGCUGCAAAUUUUCUGAACUUUUAUACUCUGCUUUCCUAAUAAAACUGAAUGCCUUUAACAGCA
This 837-nucleotide long non-coding RNA is filed under the name Homo sapiens (human). Its description in RNAcentral is "HSALNT0323152". The record is from RNAcentral. Lineage: Eukaryota; Metazoa; Chordata; Mammalia; Primates; Hominidae.